Dipodomys ordii (Ord's kangaroo rat) is the source of this 73-nucleotide non-coding RNA. The record is from Rfam. NCBI's taxonomy places the organism in Eukaryota, Metazoa, Chordata, Mammalia, Rodentia, Heteromyidae.
GGGAAGGUGGCUCAGUGGUAGAGCGUUUGCCUUGCAAUGCAUGAGGCCUGGGUUCGAUUCCUCAGCCCCCCUU